UGUGUGUGUGUGUGUCUGUGUGUGUGUGUGUGUGUGUGUGUAAAUGUAAAUGGACUGUAUUUAUAUAGCGCUUUUCUAGUCUUAACGACCACUCAAAGCACUUUUACUAUAGUUUACAGGAACCAUUCACCAUUCACACACAUUCAUACACUGUGGCCGAGGCUGCCGUCCAAGGUGCCACCUG
Sander lucioperca (pikeperch) is the source of this 184-nucleotide long non-coding RNA. RefSeq lists it as uncharacterized. NCBI's taxonomy places the organism in Eukaryota, Metazoa, Chordata, Actinopteri, Perciformes, Percidae. The record is from RefSeq and is a predicted model, not a curated record. The transcript has 3 exons.